This 400-nucleotide transfer-messenger RNA is filed under the name Anaerolineales. RNAcentral describes it as "Kmv39 sp014859065 Standard tmRNA". It matches the Rfam family "transfer-messenger RNA". Rfam says of the family: Bacterial tmRNA, also known as 10Sa RNA or SsrA, is named for its dual tRNA and mRNA-like properties. Lineage: Bacteria; Bacillati; Chloroflexota; Anaerolineae. RNAcentral also lists the same sequence under 1 other name. The record is from RNAcentral.
GGGGAUGAUAGGCUUCGACGGAAGAGGCUGGUCCCGGAUUGCGAGCCGAGAGACGCCGACCUCGUUAAAUCAGCGUAAAUAAACAAGUGCCAAUCGCACUUCAGUUUCCGCUCUUCCCCUCGCUGCAUAAUCAGUGAGACUAAGAGUUAGAUCCAAAGAUUGGGUCUCGUCCACCUACCCCGUUCUCCGACCGGUGGUGGGAUUGGGCGACAGAAAGUCGGAGUGCCGCACGCUACGUCACUAACCGUGCGCAAGAGGGGCUUUCGGGUCCCAGUGACUGGCUGAAAGGUUUUCAUUGUCAUUCAUGAGCCAAUCAGCGAGAACAAGAGAAUGACUACGCUCGUAGAUAUCCGCGGGUCUAUUCUUUCGGACGCGGGUUCGAUUCCCGCCAUCUCCACAA